AGAAAGUUAGUCUAAUAAAGACAGUUGAUUUCGACUCAACAAAUCAUAGUCCUCACCUAUGACUUUCUU
RNAcentral lists this transfer RNA (69 nucleotides) under Lepidocolaptes angustirostris (narrow-billed woodcreeper). Its description in RNAcentral is "tRNA-Arg". The record is from RNAcentral. Lineage: Eukaryota; Metazoa; Chordata; Aves; Passeriformes; Dendrocolaptidae.